Molecule: ribosomal RNA, 244 nt
Filed under: uncultured bacterium
Lineage: Bacteria
Description: partial 16S ribosomal RNA
Rfam family: Bacterial small subunit ribosomal RNA
Source: RNAcentral
ACUGAGUGGCGGACGGGUGAGUAACGCGUGGGUAACCUGCCUCAUACAGGGGGAUAACAGUUAGAAAUGACUGCUAAUACCGCAUAAGACCACAGUACCGCAUAGUACAGGGGUAAAAACUCCGGUGGUAUGAGAUGGACCCGCGUCUGAUUAGGUAGUUGGUGGGGUAACGGCCUACCAAGCCGACGAUCAGUAGCCGACCUGAGAGGGUGACCGGCCACAUUGGGACUGAGACACGGCCCAA